UCACGAGUUCAGAGGAAAGGAAAUUCUGCCACGUGACAAAGGACCACUUUCCGUACAGAGGCUGUAGGCAUUUCCUCUGAUUUCUUUCAGGGCAGAAGAGGAAGCUCUAGUUCAGAGGACAGCAUUUACGAUCUCUCAAGAAGUCCCUUUCUGGAAGCUCUACCAUCUGCUUAACUUUGACCUCUUCACUUGGAUCCCCAUUCAAAUGGAGCUGACCCUGAAGGUGAAGCCGGGAGCCAGACUCCAGCGUCCCCACAAAGGCCUCUGGCAAGAGGCACCUUCAUGAAAUCUUGAGGUCAAGGGCAGGAUCCCAAGCUGUAAGGCAGCCAGCAUCAAACUACACUUUUCAUAACUAAGAUUAAGAUAAGUAAAAUCAGGCUGGGCAGUAGCCCCGUGGUAGCACUUGCCUGAGGCCCUGGGUUCAAUUAUCAAUACUGCCAAAGUGAAAAAAAA
Long non-coding RNA from Mus musculus (house mouse), 453 nucleotides. RefSeq annotates it as predicted gene, 31292. NCBI's taxonomy places the organism in Eukaryota, Metazoa, Chordata, Mammalia, Rodentia, Muridae. The record is from RefSeq and is a predicted model, not a curated record. The transcript has 3 exons.